AAAGCCUGCGAUCUGUAGCUGGUCUGAGAGGACGACCAGCCACACUGGGACUGAGACACGGCCCAGACUCCUACGGGAGGCAGCAGUGGGGAAUUUUGGACAAUGGGCGCAAGCCUGAUCCAGCAAUGCCGCGUGCAGGAUGAAGGCCUUCGGGUUGUAAACUGCUUUUGUACGGAACGAAAAGGCUCUGGUUAAUACCUGGGGUCCAUGACGGUACCGUAAGAAUAAGCACCGGCUAACUACGUGCCAGCAGCCGCGGUAAUACGUAGGGUGCAAGCGUUAAUCGGAAUUACUGGGCGUAAAGCGUGCGCAGGCGGUUUUGUAAGACAGAGGUGAAAUCCCCGGGCUCAACCUGGGAACUGCCUUUGUGACUGCAAGGCUGGAGUACGGCAGAGGGGGAUGGAAUUCCGCGUGUAGCAGUGAAAUGCGUAGAUAUGCGGAGGAACACCGAUGGCGAAGGCAAUCCCCCUGGGCCUGUACUGACGCUCAUGCACGAAAGCGUGGGGAGCAAACAGGAC
Molecule: ribosomal RNA, 518 nt
Filed under: uncultured bacterium
Lineage: Bacteria
Description: bacterial SSU rRNA
Rfam family: Bacterial small subunit ribosomal RNA
Source: RNAcentral